This 440-nucleotide ribosomal RNA is filed under the name uncultured bacterium. RNAcentral describes it as "partial 16S ribosomal RNA". It matches the Rfam family "Bacterial small subunit ribosomal RNA", at positions 339 to 795 of the family's 1533-position model. The record is from RNAcentral.
CUACGGGCUGCUGCAGUCGAGAAUCUUCCGCAAUGGGCGAAAGCCUGACGGAGCAAUGCCGCGUGCAGGAUGAAGGCCUUCGGGUCGUAAACUGCUGUCACCGGGGAUGAAUAAUGACAGUACCCGGGGAGGAAGUCACGGCUAACUACGUGCCAGCAGCCGCGGUAAUACGUAGGUGACAAGCGUUGUUCGGAUUUAUUGGGCGUAAAGGGUUCGUAGGAUGUUGAUUAAGAUUGGUGUGAAAUCCCAAGGCUCAACCUUGGAACUGCAUUGAUUACUGAUGAACUAGAGUGUCGUAGAGGAAAGCGGAAUUCCAGGUGUAGCGGUGGAAUGCGUAGAUAUCUGGAAGAACACCGACAGCGAAGGCAGCUUUCUGGGCGAUAACUGACUCUGAGGAACGAAAGCAUGGGGAGCAAACAGGAUUAGAUACCCCUGUAGUC